RNAcentral lists this transfer RNA (66 nucleotides) under Phanerotoma flava. RNAcentral's name for it is "tRNA-Cys". Lineage: Eukaryota; Metazoa; Arthropoda; Insecta; Hymenoptera; Braconidae. The record is from RNAcentral.
AUUUUAUUAAUUUAAAAAAAAUAUUAAAUUGCAAAUUUAAAUCUAUAAUUAACAUUAUAUAAAAUU